GAUGAACGCUAGCGGCAGGCUUAACACAUGCAAGUCGAGGGGUAGAGGAAGCUUGCUUCCUUGAGACCGGCGCACGGGUGCGUAACGCGUAUGCAAUCUACCUUAUACAGGGGGAUAGCCCAGAGAAAAUUUGGAUUAAUACCCCAUAGUAUAAUUGAAUGGCAUCAUUUAAUAUUAAAAGUUCCAACGGUAUAAGAUGAGCAUGCGUCCCAUUAGCUAGUUGGUGUGGUAACGGCACACCAAGGCGACGAUGGGUAGGGGUCCUGAGAGGGAGAUCCCCCACACUGGUACUGAGACACGGACCAGACUCCU
RNAcentral lists this ribosomal RNA (312 nucleotides) under uncultured bacterium. RNAcentral's name for it is "bacterial SSU rRNA". It matches the Rfam family "Bacterial small subunit ribosomal RNA", at positions 28 to 340 of the family's 1533-position model. The record is from RNAcentral.